RNAcentral lists this non-coding RNA (40 nucleotides) under unclassified sequences. RNAcentral describes it as "L31-Actinobacteria ribosomal protein leader". It matches the Rfam family "L31-Actinobacteria ribosomal protein leader". The record is from RNAcentral.
CCGGCGCCGGUUCACCCCUCGACGAAGGGGACCCGGGGCC